RNAcentral lists this transfer RNA (68 nucleotides) under Astratotermes sp. RDCT147. RNAcentral's name for it is "tRNA-Leu". It matches the Rfam family "tRNA". Rfam says of the family: Transfer RNA (tRNA) molecules are approximately 80 nucleotides in length. Their secondary structure includes four short double-helical elements and three loops (D, anti-codon, and T loops). The record is from RNAcentral. Lineage: Eukaryota; Metazoa; Arthropoda; Insecta; Blattodea; Termitidae.
ACUAUUUUGGCAGAUAAGUGCAUUAGAUUUAGAAUCUAUGAAUGUAGAUUUAUUAUUUACAGGUAGUA